GGUUGCUUGGCGCAGUUGGUCAGCGCGUCUCCUUAACAAGCCGUGUAGGAUUCCACCUGCACGACCAGUUAUCGGAGGAGGUCCUCAGUUCGAGCCUGGGAGCGAUCA
RNAcentral lists this transfer RNA (108 nucleotides) under Pseudozyma flocculosa. RNAcentral describes it as "Anthracocystis flocculosa transfer RNA-Val(AAC)". Lineage: Eukaryota; Fungi; Basidiomycota; Ustilaginomycetes; Ustilaginales; Ustilaginaceae. The record is from RNAcentral.